AAUGAACGCUGGCGGCGUGCCUAAUACAUGCAAGUCGAGCGAACGGACGGAAAGCUUGCUUCUCUGAAGCUGGCGGCGGAAGGGUGAUUAACACGAGGCUAACCGACAUAUAAGAAUAGCAUAACUUCGGGAAACCUAAGCUAAAACAUGAUGAGAUUGUGAACGGCAUGGUUCUAAAGUGAUAGCCCGUCCUGAUGACACUUAGAGAUGGAUCCGAGCUGCAUUAGCUAGUUGGUAACGUAACGGCUUACCAAGGCAACGAUGCGUAGCCGAUCUGAGAGGGUGAUCAGUCACACUGGAACGGAGACACGGUCCAGACUCCUACGGGAGGCAGCAGUCGGGAAUUUGGAGCAAUGGGCGAAAGCCUGACGCAGCCAUGCCGCGUGCGUGAUGAAGGUCUUCGGAUCGUAAAACACUGUUAGUUGGGAAGAACAUAUGUGUACGUAAAUGUGCCCAUCUUGACGGUACCCUAUCAGAAAGCCAGGGCUAACUUCGUG
RNAcentral lists this ribosomal RNA (497 nucleotides) under uncultured bacterium. RNAcentral describes it as "partial 16S ribosomal RNA". It matches the Rfam family "Bacterial small subunit ribosomal RNA", at positions 29 to 507 of the family's 1533-position model. The record is from RNAcentral.